Molecule: ribosomal RNA, 120 nt
Filed under: Pelotomaculum thermopropionicum
Lineage: Bacteria; Bacillati; Bacillota; Clostridia; Eubacteriales; Desulfotomaculaceae
Source: RNAcentral
UCUGGUGACGAUAUCGGAGGGGGUACACCCGUUCCCAUCCCGAACACGGUAGUUAAGCCCUCCAGAGCCGAUGGUACUUGGGGCGAAGGCCCCCGGGAGAGUAGGUCGUCGCCAGAUUAA